AUAAACCUUGAUGAUAAAUUACAAAUAUCAUCCGCCAGGGAACUACAAGCGCAUUGCUCGAAACCCAACGGACUUGGCGGUGCCCCACACCCACCUAGAGGAGCCUGUUCUAUAACUGACAAUCCCCGUUCAACCUCACCACUCCUAGCCCCAUCAGUCUAUAUACCACCGUCGUAAGCUCACCCUGUGAAGGACUAACAGUAAGCAAAAUGGGCACAACCCAAAACGUCAGGUCGAGGUGUAGCACAUGGAGUGGGAAGAAAUGGGCUACAUUUUCUGCCUACAGAAUAUYACGAACAACGUCAUGAAACUGCCGUUUAAAGGAGGAUUUAGCAGUAAAAAGAAAACAGAGAGUUCUUUUGAAGCCG
Molecule: ribosomal RNA, 368 nt
Filed under: Brienomyrus brachyistius
Lineage: Eukaryota; Metazoa; Chordata; Actinopteri; Osteoglossiformes; Mormyridae
Description: partial 12S rRNA
Rfam family: Bacterial small subunit ribosomal RNA
Source: RNAcentral